This 277-nucleotide long non-coding RNA is filed under the name Solanum melongena (eggplant). Its description in RNAcentral is "long non-coding RNA (SMEL_LNC000236)". Lineage: Eukaryota; Viridiplantae; Streptophyta; Magnoliopsida; Solanales; Solanaceae. The record is from RNAcentral.
UUUUGUCAAUUCACAUCUAUGAGCGAGGAUUCCUCUAUCUCUUGCUCGCUUCGAUCGGACUCUGACAGCUUAGGGAAGAAUGAUGGGUCGCUAACAAGGCCCCUAAAUGACCGCUCAGAAGGCCUACCUGUUUUUUUUCCCAAUCUGUCACUUGCUCGUCCCUCUCUCAUGAAAAUGGUCUCUCCUCUCCUCUCGCUGUCAGGUUUGGUUUUUGUUCCAUGUUGGGUCUCACUGUUUUAUUAUUGAUUGUCCCAUGGUUAGAAUACGCUUUUUUUUC